This 94-nucleotide microRNA precursor is filed under the name Solanum lycopersicum (tomato). RNAcentral's name for it is "mir-395 microRNA precursor family". It matches the Rfam family "mir-395 microRNA precursor family". From Rfam's summary of the family: mir-395 was identified in both Arabidopsis thaliana and Oryza sativa computationally and was later experimentally verified. mir-395 is thought to target mRNAs coding for ATP sulphurylases. The mature sequence is excised from the 3' arm of the hairpin. The record is from Rfam by way of RNAcentral. Lineage: Eukaryota; Viridiplantae; Streptophyta; Magnoliopsida; Solanales; Solanaceae.
GUAUUCUCGAGAGUUCCCUUGACCACUUCAUGAGGGAUUAAUAUCUUUAUUUUUGAUGCCCUACUAAAGUGUUUGGGGGAACUCUUGGGUUCAC